RNAcentral lists this ribosomal RNA (466 nucleotides) under uncultured bacterium. RNAcentral's name for it is "partial 16S ribosomal RNA". It matches the Rfam family "Bacterial small subunit ribosomal RNA", at positions 28 to 507 of the family's 1533-position model. The record is from RNAcentral.
GACGAACGCUGGCGGCGCGCCUAACACAUGCCAGUCGAACGAGCGAGCGAGAGCUUGCUUUCUCAAGCGAGUGGCGAACGGGUGAGUAACGCGUGAGGAACCUGCCUCAAAGAGGGGGACAACAGUUGGAAACGACUGCUAAUACCGCAUAAGCCCACGACCCGGCAUCGGGUAGAGGGAAAAGGAGCAAUCCGCUUUGAGAUGGCCUCGCGUCCGAUUAGCUAGUUGGUGAGGUAACGGCCCACCAAGGCGACGAUCGGUAGCCGGACUGAGAGGUUGAACGGCCACAUUGGGACUGAGACACGGCCCAGACUCCUACGGGAGGCAGCAGUGGGGAAUAUUGCACAAUGGGGGAAACCCUGAUGCAGCGACGCCGCGUGGAGGAAGAAGGUCUUCGGAUUGUAAACUCCUGUUGUUGAGGAAGAUAAUGACGGUACUCAACAAGGAAGUGACGGCUAACUACGUG